Long non-coding RNA from Gastrolobium bilobum, 493 nucleotides. RefSeq lists it as uncharacterized. The record is from RefSeq and is a predicted model, not a curated record. NCBI's taxonomy places the organism in Eukaryota, Viridiplantae, Streptophyta, Magnoliopsida, Fabales, Fabaceae. The transcript has 4 exons.
AUAAAAGUUGAUGAAUUCAAUUAAGAAUGUGGAUAACAGAACUUCUUCCCACUCUAUGAUAAUGAAGAGGGAUCACCAGAUAUUUUCCCAAAUUGCUUGUGAUUGAGAAUUCAAAACUGGGAAUUGGGGAUUGAUAGGGCUCUCGUCUGUAUAAAGCUUCUCAAAAACCUGAUGGCUUUUCCGUCUGCUCCGUAUUCCCUCAGAGGAGGAAGAUUUGCUGAAACGAAGCACUAAACAGGGACUGAAAAGGAUCGGAAUUUCUUGAAGAUAUAUAGAAGUAACUUGUGUCACAAGUAAGCGGAUUGAAAAAGCUUCAAGAGGUUCCCAGACUCCCGGUGAGCCCUCAUUAGGCAGGGACGCGACACGUGGCUGAGGAAGUUGACGGAUCGGAUUUUGAGUGGCUGUAGGCUACUACCCUUUUUGGAGUGUAUUAGUGUAUUUCGUAUUUUCAGUUAUUUUGGAGAUCAUGAUGUUUGAUCUCUCACCUUGUAUA